GUGAAAUCAAUGGGUAAUCACAUGGACAAGACUGACUAGGGACAGAAACAAACUCAAACCAUGAUACAAGGGAAUUUAAUUGGUUUUAAAGAGUCUGUCAUCCCUUCCUCAACCCCCACCUGCUCGCACCCCCACCCUCCGGACCCACAGGAGAUGAUAAGGUGAUGUCAUACCUCCGUUUCCUGAGGAUGCUCUCCACAAAGAAGCAAUCAUCGUUGAGUGCCUCCUGCAAUGCAAAGGGAGGAGCCCGCUUAUCCAUGAGAACACUUCACUUGAAUUGAAUGUCUUACGGAGGUAAUAGUUUCAUGUGACAAGUCUGACAUACAUCAACAGAAAUAAAUAAAAUAAAUGUAAGCAAUCUGGUGCACAUCAGAUUCUUUCCAGUGCACACCAGAAACUAUCUGGUAAACAUUAGCAUUAUAUAGCAUUUAAGAUAGCCAACUUUUGCUAUGCAAGUUUGCCAGUUGCUGUAAACAUUAGCAAUAUAUAGCAUUUACGCUAGCGGUCUUUUGACAUGCAAGUCAGCCAAUUGCAACAAUGUUUACCAGAUAGUUUUUAGUGCGCACCAGAUUAUUUUUGUGGGGAAAAAAAUGCACACGCACUAUUUUACUGUAUAUAUUGAAAUCAAUAUGCUUCUCGGCUAAUGCGAUCUUCUGAUAUGUUCGCAAGCUUGACCAGUUGUUUUUCCACUGAAACUGCUGAUAGUUAGUUUUGCCUCAGACGAUCAUGGACUUUUAACUGCUAACGCAACAAGGCUCAUGACCUAUUUUGCAAGGUUUGUAAGAUGAGUUAAUCACCAAAUGUUCUAAGACACACCUCCUUAUCUGUACCCUAUAUAAGGAAG
This is a long non-coding RNA of Corythoichthys intestinalis (scribbled pipefish), 844 nucleotides long. RefSeq lists it as uncharacterized. Lineage: Eukaryota; Metazoa; Chordata; Actinopteri; Syngnathiformes; Syngnathidae. The record is from RefSeq and is a predicted model, not a curated record. The transcript has 3 exons.